This 494-nucleotide ribosomal RNA is filed under the name uncultured bacterium. RNAcentral describes it as "partial 16S ribosomal RNA". It matches the Rfam family "Bacterial small subunit ribosomal RNA", at positions 28 to 507 of the family's 1533-position model. The record is from RNAcentral.
GACGAACGCUGGCGGCGCGCUUAACACAUGCAAGUCGAACGGAAAGGCCUGCUUUCCCUUGUGGAUUGCGGGUACUCGAGUGGCGAACGGGUGAGUAACACGUGAGUGAUCUGCCCCCAACUUGGGUAUAAGCCUGGGAAACUGGGUCUAAUUCCCGAUAGGACUGCAGGGUGGUGCCUGUGGUGGAAAACGAUUUUCUAGUGGUUGGGGAUGAGCUCGCGGCCUAUCAGCUUGUGGGUGGGGUAAUGGCCUACCAAGGCGGCGACGGGUAGCCGGCCUGGGAGGGUGGACGGCCACAUUGGGACUGAGAUACGGCCCAGACUCCUACGGGAGGCAGCCGUGGGGAAUAUUGAACAAUGGGCGGAAGCCUGAUGCAGCGACGCCGAGUGGGGGAUGACGGCCUUCGGGUUGUAAACUCCUUUCGACCGCGAGGAAGCCACCUGGUUGGAAGGGUGGUGACGGUAGUGGUAGAAGAAGCACCGGCUAACUACGUG